CUCCUGCUCGCUCUUGGCCUUGGC
This 24-nucleotide non-coding RNA is filed under the name Arabidopsis thaliana (thale cress). Lineage: Eukaryota; Viridiplantae; Streptophyta; Magnoliopsida; Brassicales; Brassicaceae. The record is from RNAcentral.